GUGCUUAGUUUGGCAGCACAUAAUGCUAAAACUGGAACAAUACAGAGAAGUUAGCAUGGCACUUGCACAAAAAGGAUAUGCAAAUUUGUGAAGCAUUCCAUAUUUUU
Molecule: small nuclear RNA, 107 nt
Organism: Sapajus apella (tufted capuchin)
Lineage: Eukaryota; Metazoa; Chordata; Mammalia; Primates; Cebidae
Source: RefSeq, a predicted model, not a curated record